This 492-nucleotide ribosomal RNA is filed under the name uncultured bacterium. Its description in RNAcentral is "partial 16S ribosomal RNA". It matches the Rfam family "Bacterial small subunit ribosomal RNA", at positions 29 to 507 of the family's 1533-position model. The record is from RNAcentral.
AGUGAACGCUGGCGGUAGGCCUAACACAUGCAAGUCGAACGGCAGCACAGUAAGAGCUUGCUCUUACGGGUGGCGAGUGGCGGACGGGUGAGGAAUACAUCGGAAUCUACUUUUUCGUGGGGGAUAACGUAGGGAAACUUACGCUAAUACCGCAUACGACCUACGGUUGAAAGCAGGGGAUCUUCGGACCUUGCGCGAUUGAAUGAGCCGAUGUCGGAUUAGCUAGUUGGCGGGGUAAAGGCCCACCAAGGCGACGAUCCGUAGCUGGUCUGAGAGGAUGGUCAGCCACACUGGAACUGAGACACGGUCCAGACUCCUACGGGAGGCAGCAGUGGGGAAUAUUGGACAAUGGGCGCAAGCCUGAUCCAGCCAUACCGCGUGGGUGAAGAAGGCCUUCGGGUUGUAAAGCCCUUUUGUUGGGAAAGAAAAGCAGCAGGUUAAUACCCCGCUGUUCUGACGGUACCCAAAGAAUAAGCACCGGCUAACUUCGUG